CCCGACUGUUGCUGCUACCUUGACGUGGUGGUCGGGCUUGCCUAUCGUGAUUAUCUAAUCGAGCAAUGCUGGCUGGAAAAAUCGUUCCUCAAGGUCCUACCAUGCCAGACAGGUCGGUUGAAGAGCGGUAAGACUAAAAACAGC
This 144-nucleotide non-coding RNA is filed under the name Schistosoma mansoni. Lineage: Eukaryota; Metazoa; Platyhelminthes; Trematoda; Strigeidida; Schistosomatidae. The record is from RNAcentral.